Molecule: ribosomal RNA, 599 nt
Filed under: uncultured bacterium
Lineage: Bacteria
Description: bacterial SSU rRNA
Rfam family: Bacterial small subunit ribosomal RNA
Source: RNAcentral
GAGACGAUUGAAAGCUUGCUUUUGAGAGUCGAGUGGCAAACGGGUGAGUAACGCGUAGACAACCUGCCGCAAAGAUGGGGACAACAGUUCGAAAGGACUGCUAAUACCGAAUGUUGUCAGAUUCCCGCAUGGGAGACUGAUUAAAGAUGGCCUCUACUUGUAAGCUAUCGCUUUGCGAUGGGUCUGCGUCUGAUUAGCUGGUUGGUGGGGUAACGGCCUACCAAGGCGACGAUCAGUAGCCGGUCUGAGAGGAUGAACGGCCACAUUGGAACUGAGACACGGUCCAGACUCCUACGGGAGGCAGCAGUGGGGAAUCUUCCGCAAUGGGCGAAAGCCUGACGGAGCAACGCCGCGUGAGUGAAGAAGGGUUUCGGCUCGUAAAGCUCUGUUGACGGGGACGAAUGUGCGAGAUGCGAAUAGUUUCUUGCAAUGACGGUACCCGUCGAGGAAGCCACGGCUAACUACGUGCCAGCAGCCGCGGUAAUACGUAGGUGGCGAGCGUUGUCCGGAAUUAUUGGGCGUAAAGGGAGCGCAUGCGGAGGAGGAACACCAGUGGCGAAGGCGGCUUUCUGGACUGUAACUGACGCUGAGGCUCGAAA